Molecule: ribosomal RNA, 264 nt
Filed under: uncultured archaeon
Lineage: Archaea
Description: partial 16S ribosomal RNA
Rfam family: Archaeal small subunit ribosomal RNA
Source: RNAcentral
AGUCACUGACAUUAGAUACCCGGGUAGUCCCAGCCGUAAACUAUGCGCGUUAGGUGUACUGGUGACCACGAGUCACCGGGGUGCCGAAGGGAAACCGUGAAACGUGCCGCCUGGGAAGUACGGUCGCAAGGCUGAAACUUAAAGGAAUUGGCGGGGGAGCACCACAACAGGUGGAGCCUGCGGUUUAAUUGGAUUCAACGCCGGACAUCUCACCGGAUAAGACAGCUGAAUGAUUGUCAAUCUGAAGGUUUACAUGACUAGCUG